This 301-nucleotide ribosomal RNA is filed under the name uncultured bacterium. RNAcentral describes it as "partial 16S ribosomal RNA". It matches the Rfam family "Bacterial small subunit ribosomal RNA", at positions 509 to 807 of the family's 1533-position model. The record is from RNAcentral.
CAGCAGCCGCGGGAAUACGAAGGGUGCAAGCGUUAAUCGGAAUUACUGGGCGUAAAGCGCGCGUAGGUGGUUUGGUAAGAUGGAUGUGAAAUCCCCGGGCUCAACCUGGGAACUGCAUCCAUAACUGCCUGACUAGAGUACGGUAGAGGGUGGUGGAAUUUCCUGUGUAGCGGUGAAAUGCGUAGAUAUAGGAAGGAACACCAGUGGCGAAGGCGACCACCUGGGCUCAUACUGACACUGAGGUGCGAAAGCGUGGGGAGCAAACAGGAUUAGAUACCCCUGUAGUCCCUGUCUCUUAUAC